UAGAACUUUGUGUUCAAUGCCUUGGGGAACUUGAGGUUAAGAGGAGACUUUCAAAUUUAGGGUCAAGGAGACCUUGUGGCUCGCUGAUUAAGAACACGGGCUCUUGAGUCAGCCCUUCCUGGAUAUAACACCCGGCUCUGCCAUUUGUCAGUUACUGGCUGAUGUGGGACACAUGACCUAACUUCCCAAGCCUCAGGUCCUCUUCGGUGAACAUAGGAUAAUAAUAGCACCUAGCUCCCAGAGCUGGCAAUGCGGUGAAGUACGUAAUAACCUUUGGCUGUUAUUUUAGUGAUUAUUCUUCAAGAUUUCUUCUGAGAAGUCAUACAAAACAGGAAUGUCAAUUGCAAAAAAGACACUGAGCAGGAAGGCACUACAGAAAAGCCCUCCUCCAAAGGGGAUGUUUAUUUCAGAGACACACAGGGGGACGCUCCAGCAGCUGUCUUCCAGGAAAUCGUCCACAACCCAGGAGCUCUGACUCCCGGAAGAAGGAAGAGGACG
Molecule: long non-coding RNA, 498 nt
Filed under: Felis catus (domestic cat)
Lineage: Eukaryota; Metazoa; Chordata; Mammalia; Carnivora; Felidae
Description: lncRNA (ENSFCAG00000051405.1)
Source: RNAcentral